Molecule: ribosomal RNA, 253 nt
Filed under: uncultured bacterium
Lineage: Bacteria
Description: partial 16S ribosomal RNA
Rfam family: Bacterial small subunit ribosomal RNA
Source: RNAcentral
GACGAACCGUGCGAACGUUGUUCGGAAUCACUGGGCUUAAAGGGCGCGUAGGCGGGUUCGAAAGUCUGUGGUGAAAGCCUCCAGCUUAACUGGAGAAGUGCCAUGGAUACUGCGAACCUGGAGGAGGGUAGGGGCAUCUGGAACGCUGGGUGGAGCGGUGAAAUGCGUUGAUAUCCAGCGGAACUCCGGUGGCGAAGGCGAGGUGCUGGACCCUUUCUGACGCUGAUGCGCGAAAGCCAGGGGAGCAAACGGG